AAAAAGCAUACAUAUAAUUGACUUACAGAAAUAUUAUGAUAAUUUUUUGCUGUCCAGAGUUUGCAGGUUUUGCCUUGCAAAUGGUAUACUGAAGUUCACGUCCCAUUAAAGGUCUCACGGUUUUUCCUGCGCACUCAAAGAAUGAUGGAUUGGAGGUUGUUCAGGAAAAUUGAUCUUUCUGCACUAGGAAGAAGCGUGUCUGCAGGAGAGGACUUUCUCAGGGACUUGUUUCAAGGGUAAGGCAUUAGUUUGCCAGGAGUUAAGGACAAUUGCAAAUCUUGUGCUGCCUCAAGUUCAGCAUGCAUUUCUUUGGUCCCCAUAGUAAUGGGGGAAUUUCACAAUGUGCACGAGCAUUAAACAAUAAACAAUGAAUUUUUUAGAGAGUAAGCA
Molecule: long non-coding RNA, 390 nt
Filed under: Anser brachyrhynchus (Pink-footed goose)
Lineage: Eukaryota; Metazoa; Chordata; Aves; Anseriformes; Anatidae
Description: lncRNA (ENSABRG00000000981.1)
Source: RNAcentral